RNAcentral lists this long non-coding RNA (203 nucleotides) under Olea europaea (common olive). RNAcentral describes it as "long non-coding RNA (OEUR_LNC003884)". The record is from RNAcentral. Lineage: Eukaryota; Viridiplantae; Streptophyta; Magnoliopsida; Lamiales; Oleaceae.
AUCAUGUUACGUAAGGUGUCAUCAUUGGAGCUAUACUUUUGUGGCCACCUAUGUAGUCUAACCCGGGUGUUAAAACUUUGUUAUGGCAAUCAAAUGUUUGCCCAAGUGGGAGAAUGUUGGAAUAAUUAAUUAUUUCAUAUGUGGGCUUCACAUUGGAUUGCAGAUUUUACGGAUUAGAUGUAUGGCUCAUAAUGAUAUUUGUG